Molecule: unclassified non-coding RNA, 366 nt
Filed under: Cercozoa sp.
Lineage: Eukaryota; Cercozoa
Description: partial contains small subunit ribosomal RNA, internal transcribed spacer 1, and 5.8S ribosomal RNA
Rfam family: Eukaryotic small subunit ribosomal RNA (bases 1-47)
Source: RNAcentral
AAAGUCGUAACAAGGUUUCCGUAGGUGAACCUGCGGAAGGAUCAUUACAACGUAUCCACGUACCAAACUCUCGAACUGUUCCCAAUGAAGAUGAAGUUAAUGGUCGAGCUGCCUUUCGCUGAUGGAGUUCGCCUGGCGAACUGAAAGGCUCUCGAUUGCCAGCUGACCUUCGGGCCUGCCUGGUACUUCAUUCACUUCAUUGUGGUUUUUCCCAUCAGCAUUGUUUUACCAUUAUUAACCCUUUUACAAUUCGAACUGAACUAUGAAAUCAAGCAGCUGUCCUCGCUGGCUUCGGUCACGGACUGUUGGUUGUUUUCACACAUACGAAACAAAGAACAACUCUUAGCAACGGAUAUCUUGGCUCUC